AGUAUAGUAAUCGGAAACGUCUCGUUGCCAGGUGACAGUGGCGUCGUGACAGUGGCGCCUUAAGCCACGUUCAUACCGCACUCCUCGUUCGGAGUGCUCGCCGCAAGUAUAAAGUUGCUCCUCCAUCGAGGGGAGCCGUCAGUUCUAAACGACACCUCUGGAAAGUACGCCGGAAGAAUACGCCUCCCUAUCUCUCUCUUUCUCUCUCUCUUUCCCUCUUUCUCUUUCUCUCUCUCUCUCUUUCUUUCUCUUUCUCUCUUUCUCUCUCUCUCCCUUCCUUUCUUUAAAAAAAUUACACACAUACAGACACGGACACAGAUACGUGACGUUACACAUUAAACAUUUUCCUUCCUAUUUCAUUAAAAGAAUUCAUUCCUUCGUUUAAAUCAGUUCGUUCCGUGUUUUUGAUCAUUAUUAAAAUAAAUUCGCGAGGAACAAUAUGUCGUUGUUCACUUUCGAAAUUAGUUAAGAAAAAAGUGAUUCGAUGAUCAGUCAAAUGCGUAAGAGUUGAUGGUGAACGUGCCAAUUUUCGGAGGGACAAUCCUCAACAUUACCAAUCCCACGUAUCUACUAUUCCAAUCGAUAUCAGCUCUUAGUAGAUGAGCUCUUAAAUGAGAAGUUUCGACGAACGAGAAGUGGAGACGAACACCGCAAAACCCGUCGUGUGACGUGCGAAUGCAUGAAAACCGCGUGACAGGAUGAUAUCCAUCUAGUACUUUGAUUUGCAUCGAAUCGUUUCUACGGUGUCACCGGUGUUGUUGCGGCUCGAUGCAACAGGUUAUUUCUUCGGAAUACAUAUGUCACGGAUGAAUGGAAAGGAAGAGAAAGACGAAAGAUUUUAAUCGAGCUCACGUGAGCCAACUAAUUAUCGUUCGAACUACUAUUAAAAGUAUGCAAAUCAUCGAUAAAUAAUAAUAGAGGAGGAAGAGCAGCCGGUGUCGCUGUGAACUCGAAAAAGAUUUAAAAAAAGAAAAACAAAAAACGAAAGAAAAAAAAAUAAAAAGGUAAAAAAGAAACAAAUUCUUCCGAAUACUCGACGAACGCGAGAAUUGAGAUCGAAAG
Molecule: long non-coding RNA, 1062 nt
Organism: Vespa mandarinia (Asian giant hornet)
Lineage: Eukaryota; Metazoa; Arthropoda; Insecta; Hymenoptera; Vespidae
Source: RefSeq, a predicted model, not a curated record